GGCACGCCUUAUACAUGCAAGUCGAACGCAGUAGCAAUACUGAGUGGCAAACGGGUGAGUAUAAUGUGGGUAUCUGCCUUUUGGUUUGGAAUAACAUGAGGAAACUUGUGCUAAUACCGGAUAAGCCUUCACAGGGAAAGUUUUAUACGCCGAAAGAUGAGCCCGCACUUGAUUAGUUUGUUGGUGAGGUAAUGGCUCACCAAGACAAUUAUCAAUAGCUGGUCUGAGAGGACGAUCAGCCACAUUGGGACUGAGACACGGCCCAGACUCCUACGGGAGGCAGCAGUAAGGAAUCUUGCACAAUGGGGGAAACCCUGAUGCAGCGAUGCCGCGUGAGUGAAGAAGGCCCUUGGGUUGUAAAACUCUUUCGUCGGGGAAGAAAAUGACUGUACCCGAAUAAGAAGGUCCGG
RNAcentral lists this ribosomal RNA (410 nucleotides) under uncultured bacterium. RNAcentral describes it as "bacterial SSU rRNA". It matches the Rfam family "Bacterial small subunit ribosomal RNA", at positions 41 to 496 of the family's 1533-position model. The record is from RNAcentral.